Molecule: ribosomal RNA, 253 nt
Filed under: uncultured bacterium
Lineage: Bacteria
Description: partial 16S ribosomal RNA
Rfam family: Bacterial small subunit ribosomal RNA
Source: RNAcentral
UACGAAGGGGGCUAGCGUUGCUCGGAAUCACUGGGCGUAAAGGGUGCGUAGGCGGGUUUUUAAGUCAGGGGUGAAAUCCUGGAGCUCAACUCCAGAACUGCCUUUGAUACUGAGGAUCUUGAGUCCGGGAGAGGUGAGUGGAACUGCGAGUGUAGAGGUGAAAUUCGUAGAUAUUCGCAAGAACACCAGUGGCGAAGGCGGCUCACUGGCCCGGUACUGACGCUGAGGUGCGAAAGCGUGGGGAGCAAACAGG